Chrysemys picta bellii (western painted turtle) is the source of this 3309-nucleotide non-coding RNA. The record is from RefSeq and is a predicted model, not a curated record. NCBI's taxonomy places the organism in Eukaryota, Metazoa, Chordata, Testudines, Emydidae.
AACCACGUGGCCAGCCUGUGCUGCUGCUUUGGGGCAUCAGCUGUCAGCUCCUCUCCCAGUGAUGGCCACCCAUCGCUCCCUGACCCUGAGGGGAUGCUGAGUGGGUGAGGAGGGCCCGGCCCCGCAUCCAUGACCUCAUGCUUGGCCCUGCCAGACCUAGGGGCCGGGCAUCCCCUCCCAGGCCUCAUCCCUCUCUGCAGCGUUACCAGCAGUAUUGCUAAAGCUGAGUAUUAAUAUGCCCGAGUCUGCCCCAACCUACCAGUCCCUCCUUCCUCCCCCCCCCCAAAAAAUGGCAGAAAGGCAGUUGGCAACUUUUCUCCAGCCCAGGUACAAUCCAGUGGUUACAAUCCAGCCAUAAGCAGCAUUAGCUGAUAAAGAAAGCAAAACUGCUAUGCAAAAUUGACUAAUUUUAAAAAAAUCUAAUUAUAAAAUUAGUGGAUGAAACGGAAGUAGUGGGUAGAACAUGUCUUGACUCAUAUUCAGCAAUGCGUCUGCUAGUAUCUCAUGAAAUCUUCCUCCAGAGUGUCAGGGCUUGCCACAGCAAAACACCAGUUGACUUCCUUGGGGAAAAGACUGGACUGAAUAUUAGCAGUGUCAGAUCAAUUGUAAACUCUGAAGUACCAUCAAAUGGAAGAGAUUCUCAGCUUGGAUAGUGGCUGAAGGGAUUGCUCCAGAAUUCUUGCCUAUUCCUGUUGAUUUUUAUUAUUAUAUUGCAAAGAAGCUGGCCUGUCCAUAACAUCCCUGAAAAUUCAUCCAUCUGCAUGUCUUUUACCUGCCUUGUGUUUUUUCCCCACUCUACAGUUUCAUGCAUCUUUAAAGACUUUACCCCUUAUAAGCAUAUUCCUGCUCGGGACUUGAACUUGCUGCUAACAAAGUUUAUGGAUUUCAGAGUAGCAGCCAUGUUAGUCUGUAUCCGCAAAAAGAACAGGAGUACUUGUGGCACCUUAGAGACUAACAAAUUUAUUAGAGCAUAAGCUUUUGUGGACUACAGCCCACUUGAGCUUCCUGUGGAUUGCUCUUUGGAUUACCUGUCUCACACAACUUUCUUUAUAGUUAUCAUUGCUGCCAGGAGCAUCAGUGAGUUGCAAGCUCUGAUGGUGGUGUUACCCUAAGAGCCAAGUGGUCUUACAUGCCAACCCAAAAUGUAUUCCUAAAGUGUGAUGGACUUUCAUAUUAACCCAUCUAUCUCCCUCCUGGUCUUCUUCCCAACCUUGCACUCAGACCUGGGGGGAGACCUGUCUCCACAUCUUAGAUAUGAAGAAUGUAUUUGUUUUUAUCUAGAGAGAUAUAAGCUCUCCCAAAAGUCCAGUAGGUUGUUUGUCGUGUAUGGGGAGAAAUGUAAAAGGUAGGGAUUUCGACUCACAGAUUAGCCAAGUAGAUUGUUUUAUGCAUUUGAUUGUGCUAUUCUGUGUCUAGGAUCCCCUACCAACAAGAAUUGAGGCCUACACCACUAGUGCUAUGGACGCUUCUUUGGCCUAUCUUUAGGCUAGUACCCAUUGGUGACAUUUGCAGAGCAGAGACUUGAAGUUUAAUUCCCACCUUCACUAAGCACUACCCUUUAGGCUUAAUCUCUGGUUCAAAUGCUGAGGUUUGGGAAUUUGGUGCUUCAGCCUCUGUUCAUCUCACAACUCCUCAGCCCACCUUCCAUCUUGGAUGGUACUGCUUGUUAGGCACCCACUAAUAGUGGUUCGGUGAGCUUAUCAUGAGGGGUACCAAUCCCUGAAAUAUGAAUGCACAGAAUCAACUCUUAAACACCAGUUACCAGUAAUAACCUUUCUCUCUUUUUCUCCAAAAAAAUUCUCUUGCAGGAAGUUAUCUGCAACCUGGGACUGUUGACAGCUGGAGCAGCAUGUUUUCCCUAGGAGAAUGGCCAGGCUGACUUUCUGUUUAUAAAGAAACACAGCCCUUAUUGGUCUUGCAGCAAGCAAAAGAGACAGGGUUAAGGUGAAGCAAGCUUGGGAUACUUUACAAAGGUAUAAAAAGUACAGCAAUGGUGGGUAAACCUCAGUGAUGCCCAGAGGCCUCAGUGAGAGUCAGGACCCGACUGCGCUAGAGGCACAACAUACAGGAAGGCAUGGCUCCUGCUCCAAAGAGAUUUCAAUCUAAUUUAAGACAAGUUGCAACCAAUGAGUGUGAUAAAUAAUGGGAGGACUGGAGGAGAGAAGAGAAGGUUAACAGUCAUAAGUUAAGGCUGGUACAUAGGCUUACUGUGUGCUCAACUUGAAGGUUUCAAAUCAUUUGGAAAGAUUGGAGUAAAAGAAGAACUGAAUAAAACAGCUGGGUUGUGUGCUAAAGGCAGUUGUGCUUUUCUUUGUGUACAGUUGGGAUUUCUUGUUUGAACUGAGGAUCAGCACUAUGGAGAAGAAGAGAAAACUCUUCAGUGCGAAGCCUCCUGUCCCAGCAUGGAUUGCCGGUGAAGAAUUUUGAGAACAAGAUACAGAUCUUGUUGGAGUUAUCCAGGCCUUUGUCAUUGCGAGAUUAGACUAAUGAAAUGUGUGCUACAUCUUAAAAUCACUUGGAAAUGUAAAUUAAUGCAGAAUGUGACUUCACGCUAAGUGGUGCUUCAAGUGGACAUCACUUUACACAUACUAUAUCCUGGUCUAUUUUGGUUCCUGUACUGUGCACAUCACUAUGCUGCUCACCUGCACUCAUAAUCUGUGCUGCCUUCUGAUUAGUUUCCAAGUGGAAUUUAAGGUGUCAGCUUUGCCAAUAAAGUCCUGAAUGGUUUGGGACUUUCUCCUGGGAGAGAUCAAUAUCUACUUGUGAUACCACAGCAACUGCAAUCAGCGGAGGUCUUCAAACAAACAGUCCCCUGCUUUCAAAGACAAGAUAAUGCUGGCAGAGAAUUCUUUUGUGGAUUCUUCAACUCUGGAAUUCACAACUCCAUUUGACCUGCCAUAUUCUGAAUUUACGGAUUUCUAGGGCAUGCUGCAAGGCUGGUCUGUUUGGUUUUUGGGGAAGGGCUAAGUUGAGGAAUAUUUUGGCUCAGUUUGGGUUGUGAUUUGUAAUUUGUAGAAUGAUUCUGUGGGGAGAGCUUGAUGCGGUGAAAAUAUCCUUGUGUGUGGGAUUUUCAUCACUGGGUUGGUGUAUUUAAAAUGAUUAUAAAAGCACCUUAAGCUUUAUGAAUCAGUGCUUUUUAAAAGACAAAGAAAGAAUGCUGUCUUUUUCCCUUCUGUAGUUAAGGGUCUUUUGGGGCCAGAUUUUCAAAGGCUUUUAGGCACCUAAAGAUAUAAAUCAGGGGUAGACAACCUAUGGCACGCGUGCCAAAGGUGGCACGCGAGCUGAUUUUCAGUGGCACUCACACUGUCU